UACGGAGGGUGCAAGCGUUGUUCGGAAUCACUGGGCGUAAAGCACACGUAGGCGGAUCUGUUAGCCAAUUGUGAAAUCCCGGGGCUCAACCCCGGAAUGGCAGUUGGAACUGCAGACCUUGAAUGCUCAAGAGGUUGGGGGAAUUCCUGGUGUAGAAGUGAAAUUCGUAGAUAUCAGGAGGAACACCUGAGGCGAAGGCGCCUGACUGGUGGGCCAUUGACGCUGAGGUGCGAAAGCGUGGGUAGCAAACAGG
RNAcentral lists this ribosomal RNA (253 nucleotides) under uncultured bacterium. RNAcentral's name for it is "partial 16S ribosomal RNA". It matches the Rfam family "Bacterial small subunit ribosomal RNA", at positions 524 to 776 of the family's 1533-position model. The record is from RNAcentral.